This 268-nucleotide ribosomal RNA is filed under the name uncultured bacterium. Its description in RNAcentral is "partial 16S ribosomal RNA". It matches the Rfam family "Bacterial small subunit ribosomal RNA", at positions 524 to 785 of the family's 1533-position model. The record is from RNAcentral.
UACGUAGGGUGCAAGCGUUGUCCGGAAUUUAUUGGGCGUAAAGAGCUCGUAGGCGGUUCGUCGCGUCGGCUGUGAAAUCCCGAAGGCUCAACCUCGGGUCUGCAGUCGAUACGGGCGGACUGGAGUUCGGCAGGGGAGGACUGGAAUUCCGUGGUGUAGCGGUGAAAUGCGCAGGAUAAUCAGGAGGAACACCGUGGCGAAGGCGGGUCUCUGGGCUGACACUGACGCUCAUGCACGAAAGCGUGGGGGAGCAAACAGGAUUAGAUAC